CGCGUAGGCGGUCUCUAAAGUCAGAUGUGAAAGCCCGGGGCUUAACCCCGGAAGUGCAUUUGAAACUUAGGGACUUGAGUAUGGGAGAGGGAAGUGGAAUUCCUGGUGUAGCGGUGAAAUGCGUAGAUAUCAGGAGGAACACCAGUGGCGAAGGCGACUUCCUGGACCAAUACUGACGCUGAAGCGCGAAGGCGUGGGGAGCAAACA
RNAcentral lists this ribosomal RNA (207 nucleotides) under uncultured bacterium. RNAcentral's name for it is "partial 16S ribosomal RNA". It matches the Rfam family "Bacterial small subunit ribosomal RNA", at positions 568 to 774 of the family's 1533-position model. The record is from RNAcentral.